UCGGGAAUUUUGGGCAAUGGGCGAAAGCCUGACCCAGCAACGCCGCGUGAGGGAUGAAGUAUUUCGGUAUGUAAACCUCGAAAGAAUGGGAAGAAUAAAUGACGGUACCAUUUAUAAGCUCCGGCUAACUACGUGCCAGCAGCCGCGGUAAUACGUAGGGAGCAAGCGUUUUUCGGAUUUACUGGGCGUAAAGGGCGCGUAGGCGGCGCGGUAAGUCACUUGUGAAAUCUCUGAGCUUAACUCAGAACGGCCAAGUGAUACUGCUGUGCUAGAGUGCGGAAGAGGCAACCGGAAUUCUUGGUGUAGCGGUGAAAUGCGUAGAUAUCAAGAGGAACACCUGAGGCGAAGGCGGGUUGCUGGGCCGACACUGACGCUGAUGCGCGAAAGCCAGGGGAACAAACG
RNAcentral lists this ribosomal RNA (402 nucleotides) under uncultured bacterium. RNAcentral's name for it is "bacterial SSU rRNA". It matches the Rfam family "Bacterial small subunit ribosomal RNA", at positions 355 to 774 of the family's 1533-position model. The record is from RNAcentral.